UUCUAUUGACGUCACUGCCUUAGGAUAAGGACAUGAUAUGUGAGCCGAUGUUCAUGGKUCAGCAGAGAAUAGCUUAGAAUUUCAAGAUGGCGUCCAAAGGACAAGGAGUGACUGCUAACGAGGAAAAGAUAUUGAAGCAUGCCGCACAACAAAUACAGAAAGCAAAGAUACCACCAACUUAUAAAAGAAAGAAUGCGUUUGUCUUCAUAGGGCUGUUAUCCUCAGUCAUCGGAAUAUAUGCAUAUUCUAUGUAUUCGAUUAAGCAAGAAAAGAUCGACUUUGAUAAAGAUUAAUCUUGUAAGAUUACCACUGGAAAAAGGAAGUAAAAGAAGCCAAACAGAACAGGAAUUUUUUUAAGUACUAAGAUGAAAUGGUACAUUUGAAAGAAAGCAUUUUUUUACCACAAUACUAUCAAGGACAGAAAAAAAGAAUAUUCAUGCCCUGUGUUGAAGGAAAAAGGAAAAUUAUACAACUAUAUAAUAAUCUUCCUGCAGUAAAUUUGUAAGAUUUUCUUUUUUUUCAUGGUUCAUUCAAAAGAAACUUUGGUGGAGCGAUAUCUGCAAAAGUUUUCAUUGUAAAUAAUAUAGCAAGGUUUUUUGGUUUUCACACUUAAAUAAAUGGAGCUUGACAUUUUGGCAACACUGGUGGCUGCCUUCAUUUGUAAAAAAUGGUAAAAAAGUAGUAUAGCAGGAAAUGAUAGGUGAGCAGAGGAGUAAAAACAAUAAAUGUGAAGAGUAUUGCURUUUUA
This is a long non-coding RNA of Actinia tenebrosa (Australian red waratah sea anemone), 748 nucleotides long. Lineage: Eukaryota; Metazoa; Cnidaria; Anthozoa; Actiniaria; Actiniidae. The record is from RefSeq and is a predicted model, not a curated record.